Molecule: ribosomal RNA, 228 nt
Filed under: uncultured bacterium
Lineage: Bacteria
Description: partial 16S ribosomal RNA
Rfam family: Bacterial small subunit ribosomal RNA
Source: RNAcentral
CGGGUGGGUAAUGUAUAGGAACUUGCCUAGUAGUGGGGGAUAACGUGUGGAAACGCACGCUAAUACCGCAUACGCUCUACGGAGGAAAGCGGGGGAUCUUCGGACCUCGUGCUACUAGAUGGGCCUAUAUCAGAUUAGCUAGUUGGUAAGGUAAUGGCUUACCAAGGCGACGAUCUGUAGCUGGUUUGAGAGAAUGAUCAGCCACACUGGGACUGAGACACGGCCCAG